AACAUUGUAAAUCCACUGAGAAGUACAGUGAGAAAAUACACUGUAAAUCCAAGUAGAAUUACAGUACAAAUCCACUAAGGAUCCACUAAGAAUAACACUGUAAUUACACUGUAAAAAAACCACUAAAAUACACUAAGAAUUACACUGUAAAUCCAAUUAGGAUUACAGUGUAAAAUCCACUAAGAAAAGGUAAUUCCUAAAAAUUCUGAAUUAGAUUUCAUGAAUGUACAUGCACAUAUUGAAUGGAUUUUCCUGAAAAUAUAUACCAAAAUGGUUUGGCAUUAGAUUAACUGAAUGGAAUUGCACGGAGGAGCAUACACAUUUACAAAACUACUUCGCUGUAAGUAACACUAAAAAAUACUGGAAAUAGCAGUACAAAUCAUUGCAAGUUACACGGCAAAUAUUACUAUAAGUUACACUAAAAUACUGGAAAAUUUAGAGAAAAUCACGGUAAGUUGCACAUUACUGAAAUUGCAAUGAAAAUACAUUGAAAUUACAGUGUAAUUAUACACUUUAGUUGCUCAAGGUGGUGGUCGUGAUUAUUAGUAAUACCAUGGCAGUGGCAGUGCUAGUUCAUUCACCAGAAAUAUGCUAGAAACAAUAAAGAAUGAGUAGAGCAGAAGGUAGGUGAUAGACUAAAGGGAAUCACAACCCAAUCCCAAUCCCAAUGUGCAGCAGACUAGAUUAGAUUGGAGAAGGAAUAGAGGGAAAACAGUAGACUAGUUUGGUUGCUAGGUAGAUGAUGUUGAGCGAGGAAACAAGUCGUUCAAGCAAAGCAAAGGGAUCUGAACUGAAACAAAGAGCAUCACAUCCGAUAGGGACAUCGACAGGGUCAUUGACAUGGACAGGGAUCUGAACUGAAACAAACAGCACGUUCAAGUGCAUGACACCUAGCCGAAUUCAACCACACAGUCUAGACAGUCCCGAACCACUUUAACUUAACUGGAAAAAAAAUCAGUUCACGAACGAGAAUGACACAUUAAACUAGAAAUUUGUCCACCAAAAAACAUCAACAUGAGACUCAAUUGACCAGGUGACUCGGCAUUUGCAUUCAAAAUAACGAAGGGUUGUACGUCUACAAAAGCUAGCAGAGGAUAAAAGGGGGCAUACAAACUUAUAGUCCAGAGUUAAUUCACAAUACAAUUCAGACUGUAGUUACACUGAUACUCAGUGUAAUAGGUGCUGGAAAAAGAGUGGGAAAUUUAGAGUAGAUCACUAAAACUUAAACAUUACUGAAGUUACAAAGCCAGAGAAAAAAGCACUCGAAAGUUACAGAGUAGAUCACUGAAACUUACACAUUACAGAAGUUACAAAGCCAGACACAAAAGCACUCGAAAAUUACAGAGUAGAUCACUGAAACUUACACAUUACUGAAUUUACAAAGCCAGACACAAAAGCACUCAAAAAUUACAGAGUAAGAUGGACUAAUAAAACCUGAAACUACAGUCCAAAAUCACUGACGCUUAACUGAUAAAAUUCAGUCCCGAUCACUCCAAAUCUGCUCAAAGUUAUAAUCCAACUCACUGACAAAAACAACCGGCAUCAUACACAUAUACAGUAAACAUCUAGGAGCUAGAUUCAACAUUUACAUCCACACAUCUAGGGGCUGUGCACAUAUAGGGGCACAUGAACAACUACAGAGACAUUCGGGAGCAGAAAUCAAAAAUAGACAUGAGGGAACCACCCCUACAACUACAUCAAACCAGGCGUUGUUGCAUCUACAUCUACUAGAUGUUGCUCCAUCUGCAGCAAAAUCGGACAUCUAGGAACCACCACAAACAACCUAAAAGAGUUGGGAUCCACCACUACACAUGGGAACAAACACACCACUAAGCCAGAUCUAGCAAAGUCCUACAGAAAUUGCAGCGAAAUGAAGACAUGGGGAAAGGAUACUGGCAAACCAACCUCGUUGCGUGAAGAAGGGAGGCACAGGGGUCGAAACACCACAGCAAAAGGAGGGGCGGGACGAAAUCAACAGAAGCAGAUAAGACACCGCUGCCGAAUCACCAUGCAUCGACCUCUCCUCUGCCUCAACACACUUCAAGGAGAAGCAACAGGGGAUGGGGGAGGGGGAGGGGGAGGGGGACCGGGCGCCUAACCACUGGCUCGCUCUCCAGAGAUCAGCGACAAAGCUAACCUACCAAAAUCGCCAUGGCUCUCUCCUCUCUGCCUCCAAGAUCUUGCCGCUCCAAAUGGGAAAGGAAAACAGACAAAGUCAGCGGAGAAGAUAAAAGGAAAUUCGAAAAUAAAAGAAAAAACCGGCUAGUACACGGACCCGCCA
This 2281-nucleotide long non-coding RNA is filed under the name Triticum aestivum (bread wheat). Its description in RNAcentral is "long non-coding RNA (TAES_LNC025117)". The record is from RNAcentral. Lineage: Eukaryota; Viridiplantae; Streptophyta; Magnoliopsida; Poales; Poaceae.